Molecule: long non-coding RNA, 1437 nt
Filed under: Homo sapiens (human)
Lineage: Eukaryota; Metazoa; Chordata; Mammalia; Primates; Hominidae
Description: HSALNT0325371
Source: RNAcentral
CUGAGAUCAGGAGUUGAAGACCAGCCUGACCAACAUGGAGAAAUCCUGUCUUUACUAAAAAUACAAAAAAUUAGCCAGGUGUAGUAGCGCGUGUUUGUAAUCCUAGCUACUUGGGAGGCUGAAGCAGGAGAAUCGCUUGAACCUGGGAGGCGGAAGUUGCAGUGAGCGGAGAUCGCACCACUGCACUCCAGCCUGGGCGACAGAACAAGACUCUGUCUCCAAAAUAAAAAAUAAAUUAAAAAGAGCUAUAAUUGUUUUUAAAGUGCAUAAAGCAAUAUUAUGGAAGAAAAACGAUCAAUUAGCGACACCAAUCAAUAAAGCUGGAAUGAGACAUAAUUAAGCUAGUUCAAAGGAAAGUCUGAUGAAAGAUUACAAAAAGCUCUCUAAUUAUGAGAGGAAAGAAGAAUCUCAGGCAAGACUGCCAAGGAGGUUACAAAUUUGUUAACCCUGCAGCAGAAAUGAGAAACUCAACAAUUAAAGAGAAAAUAAAAAUCAAUGUCAUUCCAACAAUGGACAGGCUCCAUUCUCCAGUUAAAAGGAUCUACCACCAGCUUUAAAGUCAUCAGCCAAGUUCUUUCCAGAUUUCUCAGAACCACACAAGCAAACACACAUGGCAAGAGCAACCCUCAACUCACUCUAUUAUGAGUACAACUCAUCAAGGACUGAGGACCCUGGAGCAUUUCUUCUCCAAACUCUGAUCUUCCAGAUGCCAAACAAAGUAGGCUGAUAGACUGGCCUGAAGAUGAAGUCCCGCUCUGUCGCCCAGGCUGGAGUGCAAUGGCAAGAUCAAUCUCAGCUCAGUGCAACCUUCACCUCCCGGGUUCAAGCAAUCCUCCUGCCUCAGACUCCCAAGUUGCUGGGAUUACAGGUCUGCUUAACAUAAGGUUUGCAGCCAAGCGCGGCCACUCAUGCCUGUAAUCCCAGCACUUUGGGAGGCCGAGGCGGGCGGAUCAUGAGAUCAGGAGAUUGAGACCAUCCCGGCUAACACAGUGAAACCCCGUCUCUACUGAAAAUAGAAAAAAUUAACUGGGUGCGGUGGCGGGUGCCUGUAGUCCCAGUUACUUGGGAGGCUGAGGCAGGAGAAUGGCGUGAACCUGGGAGGUGGAGCUUGCAGUGAGCCAGGAUCGCGCCACUGCACUCCAGCCUGGGUGACAGAGCGAGACUCCAUCUCAAAAAAUAAUAAUAAUAAAAUAAAAUAAGGUUUGCAUAUUGGUUAUAAGCAUUUUCUCACAUCAGUCUAAUACCUUGUGGCUACUGAUUUCCUGCACUGGGAGUCAGCAGACCUCAUGGCGAUGCAAAACGUCUGCCAAUGUAUAUUAAAAGGAAACCAAGUAAGAACAGACUUUGCCGCCAUUUGGGCAACUCCUCACGUAGAUGCUUGGCAAGUAACAGUCAGAGACAGUGUGCUAUUGUUCAAAUGCACAGACUGGAUUCUGA